CUCUUGUCUAAGGGUGGCAAUGCUUGCUACAGGUCCAGGUGGCACAUGCAUAGGCCACACUGACUUGGGAUGGUUAGCAGUGUUCUGGGCCAGCUGCCAAGUCUGCCCUGGGGUUGUUCCCGAUUGGGCAAUUUAGGUCACAGGCCCAUCUCUGGAGCAAAGAGAUUGUGGCCUGGAUGGGGAGGAGGAAUCGGGGUUGGCCCCAGGCUCAGGAGUUGAGAGGAAGAGUGGAGAGUGGAAUGAACCCGGGCUGUCCCUAAAAAGAAAGGGAGGGACGGAUGUGGACAGGGGCCUCCAGCAAGCACAGUGGAGGGGACAGGAGAGAUUGACAAGCAAAGCCCUCGGGCGGCUCCGGCUGCUUGAGGAUGAGGAUGCAGAGUUCUCCCUGCUCGGCUUCAGGUGGACUUGCUGCCCUGGGAGGGGGCCUGGUGCUUCCAGAAGCAGCUUCGCACGUAAAGGGCACCCAGGUGCAGGACCUGCCUGUGUCCUCCGAGGCGCUGUCGGCCUGCGGGCUUGUGGCGGGGCCUCCGGGUGAAGCUCGAGGAGUGGAGCUGGGCCGGAUCGAUCGCUUCGUUUGGAUGGAAAAGAACCUAAAAUUUCUCAAUAAGGUUUCUAUUGAUUAGACGGUGGAAUGACCAUAUUUGGGGCAUGCUCAUGGGUUAAAUUCACUUGUUUGUUUUUCCUUUUUUGGGGGGCCGCAUUCGAGAGACUUGGAAGGUCCCUGGGCCAGGGAUUGAAUCAGAGCCGCAUGGGCGACCUACGCCACAGCUGAGGUAACACGGGACCCUUAACCCACUGCAGCACAGCGGGAACUCCCUGCUGCACGUCUCUGAGCCACACUGUCUUCCUUGAGGAGGCGCUGCUGAGGGUGACGGAGACCCCCCUACUGGAGGUGCCACUGAGGUGUGGCAGGGAGGGGGCAUCCAUCCAUCUGUCCCCAGGCCUCGGACCCUGGUGCCUGAGAGACACGGAUGCUGCAAGACUCCAUCUCCAGCACCACCACUGCUGCGCUCAGACCCUGGGGCUCUGUCAGGAGUCUGCCCUGCACGGCUUUUAUCAAAACAUCCAAAACUAGGCCAGAGACAAGGCCAGGGAACCUGCAGCCCUCGGGCCACUCCAGGCCGCCUACCAGGUUCUGGCAGAGCUGCCGGGCGGGAAGUGGACCCCGCGGGCACUUUCGAGCCUCUGCACCCCAGCGUCCCUUCUGCUGCCGAAAGAGUUCUCCACAGAGCGCUGCUGGAGUCCGGGAGCCUGGAGUCCGUGAACCUGGACGAGAAAACAGUCACAUCCAUAUCGGCACCGACUAAAUUCAGCAUCGCCCUGCCUUGUGAAUGUGAGCAGCAAAACCCAGUGAGGUCUGUGGUUUUGCCACCGACGUUAUCAACCACAAACCCUACUGGGUUUCCGAACAUCCUACCUUUAUUGCAGAAAUUUCAGGAUGGCAUUUGGACUCAAAUCACGGUAGUUCUUAAAUCCACCACUAGGUAUUCUUUUAAAUGUGCUAAGAAGAAGUUGGAGUUCCCUGGUGGCCUAGCUGGUUAGGGAUCCUGCAUUAUCACUGCUGUAGCUGGGUUAGAUUCCUGGCCUGGGAGUGUCUGCAGGCUGCUGGCCAAAAAAAAAAAAGAAGAAGAAGGAGAAAAGGAAGAGGAAGAGGAAGAAAAGAAGAAGAGGCAUGUAUAUUAAACAAUAGUUUGACAAAUUUCAGUGCAUUUGGCUUCCUUUAUAAUCCUACGUAUUUUGCUAUUUUGCAUUGUGCAUUUAAAAACAUGAUCCUGAGAAGGGGUGUCAAAAGCCUAGUUAAUUUUUUUUUUUUUUUUUUUGGCUGUGCCCAAGGCAGGGGGAAGUUCCCCGGCCAGGGACUGAAUCUGAGCCACGACAGUGACCCAAGCCACCGCAGUGAAAAUGCUGGAUCCUUAACCUGCUGCACCACAAGAACACUCAAAAGCCUAGUUGAGGUAAUGCCGGGGAGCUGAUAUUCUGGAGCGCUGGCAGUCAUUUUGUGACUCUGAGGGUAAAGCUGACUCAGUGAGAAGGGCAGACUGAGGAGUGGGGGAAGUUCCAGGGUCCUUUCCCAGCUAUGACCAGAAUUAACCAACCGGGGAAAGUCCCCUCUUCUGGGCUUAUUUCUUGCUGUAACACAUGGCCUCGUUGUUUAGCCAGUUGAGUCAGGG
RNAcentral lists this long non-coding RNA (2171 nucleotides) under Sus scrofa (pig). RNAcentral describes it as "lncRNA (ENSSSCG00025027483.1)". The record is from RNAcentral. Lineage: Eukaryota; Metazoa; Chordata; Mammalia; Artiodactyla; Suidae.